CGAAAAUCCGUUGGCUUUUUAGACCGUGAGGGUUCAAGUCCCUCUACCCCCA
This 52-nucleotide transfer RNA is filed under the name Herbertus sendtneri. Its description in RNAcentral is "partial transfer RNA-Leu". The record is from RNAcentral. Lineage: Eukaryota; Viridiplantae; Streptophyta; Jungermanniopsida; Jungermanniales; Herbertaceae.